ACGCUGGCGGCGCGCCUAAUACAUGCAAGUCGAGCGAGAACCAGGGCUUGCCCUGGGGAGAGCGGCGAACGGGUGCGUAUCACGUGAGCAACCUGCCUCGGAGACCGGAAUAACUCGAGGAAACUCGGGCUAAUGCCGGAUGCCCUCGAUGGACCGCAUGGUCCGGCGAGGAAAUGGAUUCCGCUCCGAGAUGGGCUCGCGGCCUAUCAGCUUGUUGGUGGGGUAACGGCCUACCAAGGCGACGACGGGUAGCUGGUCUGAGAGGACGAUCAGCCACACUGGGACUGAGACACGGCCCAGACUCCUACGGGAGGCAGCAGUAGGGAAUCUUGCGCAAUGGGGGAAACCCUGACGCAGCGACGCCGCGUGCGGGAUGAAGGCCUUCGGGUCGUAAACCGCUUUCAGCAGGGACGAAAUUGACGGUACCUGCAGAAGAAGGCCCGGCCAACUACGUGCCAGCAGCCGCGGUGAUACGUAGGUGGCAAGCGUUGUCCGGAUUUACUGGGCGUAAAGGAUGCGUAGGCGGACAUUUAAGUCAGAUGUGAAAUACCCGAGCUUAACUUGGGUGCUGCAUUUGAAACCGGGUGUCUAGAGUGCAGGAGAGGUAAGUGGAAUUCCUAGUGUAGCGGUGAAAUGCGUAGAGAUUAGGAAGAACACCAGUGGCGAAGGCGACUUACUGGACUGUAACUGACGCUGAGGCAUGAAAGCGUGGGGAGC
RNAcentral lists this ribosomal RNA (717 nucleotides) under uncultured soil bacterium. RNAcentral's name for it is "bacterial SSU rRNA". It matches the Rfam family "Bacterial small subunit ribosomal RNA", at positions 33 to 769 of the family's 1533-position model. The record is from RNAcentral.